GUGAAAAGGACACCUUAACACCCUGUAAAGCAAAGUAUGUAGGAUUCGGACACUAUGCAUAGGUCAUGGCCUGAACUGAGUCUAACUUUCUAAAUUUGUCAAAUUGGCCUCUUUCUUUUUAUUUUUCACUGGAAUUUUGAGUGCUUAUCAAAAUUCAAGCAAGAUAUUUUUACAUGCAUUUAUUGACCAGAUAUACUAACAGACUAACAAAUCUCUCCAUCAGAGAGCUGAGACAAGACCAAAAAAAGAUGGAUAAAUAACCAAACCUCAAUCAGUUCUCCCCGAUUGA
Long non-coding RNA from Arabidopsis thaliana (thale cress), 289 nucleotides. RefSeq annotates it as other RNA. The record is from RefSeq. The transcript has a single exon. Lineage: Eukaryota; Viridiplantae; Streptophyta; Magnoliopsida; Brassicales; Brassicaceae.